CGCGGGGUGGAGCAGUCUGGUAGCUCGUCGGGCUCAUAACCCGGAGGUUGUCGGUUCGAAUCCGGCCCCCGCAACCA
RNAcentral lists this transfer RNA (77 nucleotides) under Bacillota bacterium. RNAcentral's name for it is "Firmicutes bacterium (anaerobic digester metagenome) tRNA-Met". It matches the Rfam family "tRNA". Rfam says of the family: Transfer RNA (tRNA) molecules are approximately 80 nucleotides in length. The record is from RNAcentral. RNAcentral also lists the same sequence under 1 other name. Lineage: Bacteria; Bacillati; Bacillota.